CUACGGGCUGCUGCAGUGGGGAAUAUUGCACAAUGGGCGCAAGCCUGAUGCAGCCAUGCCGCGUGUAUGAAGAAGGCCUUCGGGUUGUAAAGUACUUUCAGCGGGGAGGAAGGGAGUGAAGUUAAUACCUUUGCUCAUUGACGUUACCCGCAGAAGAAGCACCGGCUAACUCCGUGCCAGCAGCCGCGGUAAUACGGAGGGUGCAAGCGUUAAUCGGAAUUACUGGGCGUAAAGCGCACGCAGGCGGUUUGUUAAGUCAGAUGUGAAAUCCCCGGGCUCAACCUGGGAACUGCAUCUGAUACUGGCAAGCUUGAGUCUCGUAGAGGGGGGUAGAAUUCCAGGUGUAGCGGUGAAAUGCGUAGAGAUCUGGAGGAAUACCGGUGGCGAAGGCGGCCCCCUGGACGAAGACUGACGCUCAGGUGCGAAAGCGUAGGGAGCAAACAGGAUUAGAUACCCCAGUAGUC
Molecule: ribosomal RNA, 464 nt
Filed under: uncultured bacterium
Lineage: Bacteria
Description: partial 16S ribosomal RNA
Rfam family: Bacterial small subunit ribosomal RNA
Source: RNAcentral